RNAcentral lists this ribosomal RNA (497 nucleotides) under uncultured bacterium. Its description in RNAcentral is "partial 16S ribosomal RNA". It matches the Rfam family "Bacterial small subunit ribosomal RNA", at positions 28 to 507 of the family's 1533-position model. The record is from RNAcentral.
GAUGAACGCUGGCGGCGUGCCUAAUACAUGCAAGUCGAGCGAACGGACGAGGAGCUUGCUUCUCUGAUGUUAGCGGCGGACGGGUGAGUAACACGUGGAUAACCUACCUAUAAGACUGGGAUAACUUCGGGAAACCGGAGCUAAUACCGGAUAAUAUAUUGAACCGCAUGGUUCAAUAGUGAAAGACGGUCUUGCUGUCACUUAUAGAUGGAUCCGCGCUGCAUUAGCUAGUUGGUAAGGUAACGGCUUACCAAGGCAACGAUGCGUAGCCGACCUGAGAGGGUGAUCGGCCACACUGGAACGGAGACACGGUCCAGACUCCUACGGGAGGCAGCAGUAGGGAAUCUUCCGCAAUGGGCGAAAGCCUGACGGAGCAACGCCGCGUGAGUGAUGAAGGUCUUCGGAUCGUAAAACUCUGUUAUUAGGGAAGAACAUAUGUGUAAGUAACUGUGCACAUCUUGACGGUACCUAAUCAGAAAGCCACGGCUAACUACGUG